RNAcentral lists this long non-coding RNA (2266 nucleotides) under Strigops habroptila (Kakapo). RNAcentral's name for it is "lncRNA (ENSSHBG00005009422.1)". Lineage: Eukaryota; Metazoa; Chordata; Aves; Psittaciformes; Psittacidae. The record is from RNAcentral.
UUUUUUUUCCCCACUUAUUGUUUUGAUAGUUUGGUCAUGUUUCAAUUUAAAUUUAUCUUUGGAUAUGUAGGAGCAGGGGCCAUAGAAGCUGUGUUUGAGGUACAUGGCUGUGAGUACACUCAGCAUUCUGCUGAAGACUCAAGACUCUGGCCAGCUUAGGGAACUCCAUAAAAUUCAGACCCUGGGCACUGCUAGAAAGCUAUUAGACCAACCCUAAACUAACAAUGACUUGUAAGAUGAGGUCCCAGUGUUCAGUUCGUGAUGAUUACAUUUUAGCUAGUGCUUAGGCUCUUACCACUAUGCACAAGUAUUCCGUGGGAAAAGUUCCUCGUAGUCAUUUGGCAUGUGAUACAAUGAUCACAUAAGUCAAUGGAAAGUUUCAUUCUGCUGAUGCCAAUGGAAUUUGGAUCCGGCGCUGUUUCUGGCACUGAUUAACUCGUCCUGGUUGUCAAAGCUAAUAGUUUCUUUAGAUGGCAAAUGGUAUAUAAUUAACUGAAGAAAAAAUACACACCCUAAUUUAAAGUAACUAGCACAGCUACCAUAUCCUAGCACGUAUUAAUGCAACUGAAAUUUGGUAACUUUGUGUGAAGUAGUAUCAGAGGCAACAUGACAUGAAGAAAAUGGUAUGUCUAAACCCAUGGACACUUGAAACUUCCCACUAGUGGAAAUAGUUCACUUUUGAGGUUUUCCCUUCCUGCCUUUCCCUUUGUCUUUCUAGCAGCCUUGACCUCACAGUUUAAGCAUGUGGUGUAGUGUUGGCGCUUGAGCCCUGGGCUGACCUUGGACUUGUACAAAGGAAGGAUGAUAGGCAGCUUCUAACUCUCUGUGGGUUGUCAAGCAUUGGAACAGGCUGCCCAGGAAACUGGUGGAAUCACCAUCCCUGAAGUAUUUAAAAGACGUGGCACUUAGUGACAUGUUUAGUGGUGAACAUGGCAGUGCCAAGUUAAGGGUUGGACUUGAUCUUGAAAGUCUCUUCCAACCUAAAUGAUUCUAUGAUUCUAUGAAAAAUGUGGGCUCUGUCCCAGAGAUCUGAUAGUCUGGCCAUUGGACAGGAAGGGAAAUCUUUAAUCAACAUUGCACGAGUUGAACAUUACAGAAAUACAAGGCAUUCAGAGAGGUUCACUAAAAAUGGGACUUGAAGGCACGUUCAUGAGAAGUGUGGGGGUUUUCCAAGGUUGGAGGAUUUUUUGCAUAGGCUGAAAAAAUAAAACUUAACAGGAUUCUUGCUGUUUCAUAUCUGUGGUUUUUUGUUAUGGGAUGUGUAGGAUAUUCACAUGUUCUAAUUGCUUAUGUUCAUUCUAGAUGGGAUACACUCCUUUGCAUGUUGGCUGCCACUACGGAAACAUAAAAAUUGUUAACUUCCUUCUUCAACAUUCUGCAAAAGUUAAUGCCAAAACAAAGGUGAGUUUUCCGCUUCUGUCUCACUUAUUAUGUGGAGGCAGCUUGUGCACUGUGCUCACUGUAGCCUUUCCCCUUCCCUGCAUCCGCAGAACGGGUACACACCGCUGCACCAGGCUGCACAGCAGGGGCAUACCCACAUCAUCAACGUCCUGCUCCAGAACGGCGCGUCGCCCAACGAGCUCACUGUGAAUGGAAACACUGCCCUUGCCAUUGCAAAGCGACUUGGCUACAUUUCAGUCGUUGACACAUUGAAGGUGGUGACAGAAGAGACCGUGACUACAAUUGUAAGUACAGUUCGGUAGUGAAUGGAAGAAUUUUUCCUAAACCAGUGUAUUCAGCUUUGUUUAGUUACACGUCUACUGAGAUUCCAGCUUAAUUUCUAUCUAUUUCCUUUUAGCAGUAUAAAGUGGACAUUAAGUCAAAUAUGAGCAAUAUAUUUUUAAGGCAGUAGACACUAUUAGGAUGUAUGCAGAAAGAGUAUCAACCGAGCAAAAAAUCAACAGUGUUAAUGACUGGUCAUAGCUGUCAUAUUUUUCCACACAGCUUGUUGUUUAAGACAUAAACCACAUGAAUAUGAGCCGGUUUGUGGUUGAAAAGACAUUCCUACACAUUUGUGUAAAUAGAAGUUGCUUCUGCCUUUUCAGAGCAUUUACCAAGGGACUGUCAUAUAAUGGUUUGUAUUUGGACUGAGAGGACCUAUUCCAAUCUAAGAAGUGGUUGGAAUUGACUUUAAAGCAACUCAUUGUGUAGUUUCUGGCAUCUUCCGAAAGAUGGUGAAAGGAUGUCUUCUACAAGCAGCCACAGUCAGCUCCUGCAAUCCUAGAUAUCCAUUUGCUGACAGAUACAUGAACUCCAGCUCAUCUGU